GCUGGGUGCAGUGGUGCACACCUGUAAUCCUAGCAACUCGGGAGGCUGAGACAGGAGGGCAAGAGGACCACAAGUUCAAGGCCAAUCUUGGCAACUUAGUGAGAUCCUGUCUUGA
RNAcentral lists this small RNA (115 nucleotides) under Marmota monax (woodchuck). The record is from RNAcentral. Lineage: Eukaryota; Metazoa; Chordata; Mammalia; Rodentia; Sciuridae.